AUUGAACGCUGGCGGCAUGCCUUACACAUGCAAGUCGAACGGCAGCACGGACUUCGGUCUGGUGGCGAGUGGCGAACGGGUGAGUAAUAUAUCGGAACAUACCUUGUAGUGGGGGAUAACUAUCCGAAAGGAUAGCUAAUACCGCAUACGCUCUACGGAGGAAAGUGGGGGAUCGCAAGACCUCAUGCUAUAAGAGUGGCCGAUAUCUGAUUAGCUAGUUGGUGAGGUAAAGGCUCACCAAGGCGACGAUCAGUAGCUGGUCUGAGAGGACGACCAGCCACACUGGAACUGAGACACGGUCCAGACUCCUACGGGAGGCAGCAGUGGGGGAAUUUUUGGGACAAUGGGGGCAACCCUGAUCCAGCAAUGCCGCGUGAGUGAAGAAGGCCUUC
This 392-nucleotide ribosomal RNA is filed under the name uncultured bacterium. RNAcentral's name for it is "bacterial SSU rRNA". It matches the Rfam family "Bacterial small subunit ribosomal RNA", at positions 30 to 419 of the family's 1533-position model. The record is from RNAcentral.